Molecule: transfer RNA, 89 nt
Filed under: Campylobacterota bacterium
Lineage: Bacteria; Pseudomonadati; Campylobacterota
Description: tRNA-Ala
Source: RNAcentral
UGAUCGAGUAGAUAGCGUUGAAACGCCUCCAUUUUUGCGCGAUCGGGACGGGCGAAACUGCUCCCUUCGUGCGGAUUGAAGGCGAUCAG